Long non-coding RNA from Pygocentrus nattereri (red-bellied piranha), 1980 nucleotides. The record is from Ensembl. Lineage: Eukaryota; Metazoa; Chordata; Actinopteri; Characiformes; Serrasalmidae.
ACCAGACUUCCACGAGGCACAGAAAGCGAGAGUAAAUUGGUUUUGGAGGCCCUGCCUGGUUAUUCUCCACCGUUUUCUUCUUCUCCUGAAGAACGGAACACGUGUUUAUAACGGCUCUGGGUCUAUUUUACUGCCACGCUCUUGUGACUAUGAAGACCUAAAGGGUCGUUUUUCCGUGCUAGCGGUUUAGUUUUGUUUCCUCGAGAUCUCGUUAUAUUUGUCAUUAACAGCGAACGUAGUCUUCUGGAAAUCUUGAGUUAUUAAUAUCAAUCGUGACAGAGCGAACGCUGUUUUGUCACAAUAACCUAAUGCCGUCAUGAGAAGAGCAUACAUAUCUCAAAAUCUCAAGAAAACAGCAUCGGUAGUCAUGAUAACGAUACAUGCCUCACGAUCUCGAGAAAAACAGCACUGGUUUUGCCAUGAUAAUAGCAUAAAUAUCUCAAGAUCGCGAAAAAGCUAAUGAAGUACCCUGCUUUCACGGAAAAACCGUAGUAAAUGAAUGGCCCUUGAGGGCUUCCGUCCGUGCCUCUUGUAGGUAGUGAUGGGUUUCUGCGUCGUCGCUAGCUACCAAGCUAACAGGUAAAUCCAUUUGCACUGAAGUUUUUAGGAAAUGUAUAAAAACUCGUUAACAGUUCGCGCAGUAUCCCGAGAUGAUGAUGCGACUGGACGUUUUUAAGUCGUCGGGUGUAUUUAGUUCUACUCUCAGUGGAAGGAGACGCUGUUGGGCUCUUCACCCCCUCUGUGAUUACGUCAGCUGUCUGGACGAAAGGAGAUCCACUGUGGGGCCUGACCUCUGGCCCUCUGUUAUCACUAGUAGCUGACCUCAGGGCGUGUGGAAGUGCUGCUCAGCACCCACAGGGACAGGCCUGCACACUGUCAUGACCUGCUAAGAACUACACAAACAGCAGCAAACUCCUUGUUAUUAGGAGGGGGUUGGGUGGAGGGGAGCACUAGAUCAUGAUGGAUUAGUCCUAAUCAAGUAUAGAUUUUUGACCAUAGCCAAGUCUAGUUAUUCCCAGUCAUCAUUCUUGGGGCAGGAAACCCUGCACAUUUAAGUAUUUUCUAUUCCGAAAACACAUGAUUCUAUUUGAUUCUAGCAAAUUACUUGUCUCCAGAGCUCCAGGUCUUUUUUCCCUCUUUAAAUAACAUUCCCCUAUACAAAGGAAAUAUAUUUACACAUAUUUCUCAAAAUAUGUGUCAGGUUUGUGAAGUAUUUCCAUAUAUGUUUGAUAUAUAAAUUUAGGCAUCAAAAAUAACACUGUUGUGUAUAUUUCAUCUACAUGUAUGCACAUUUUUAAAUAUAUUGGGAAAUAUACAUAUUGACAUAUAUUUAGAUAUUUAAAAAUGGCAUAGUUACCUAUAUCUAGUACCAUUAUUUUACAAUAUACACUGUUAAUAGAGCAAAUACACUGAUAAGUCAAACAUUGGGGCCACCUGCUAAUAUGCUUCUGGUUCUUAAACAGAUCUGACCUGCUGAGGCAUGGACUCUACUAGACUUCUGAAAGUGCCCUGUGGUAUCCAACACUAAGACAUUAACAGCAGAUCCUUUAAGUCCUGUAAGUUGUGAGGUGGAGCCACCUCAUAUUGGACUUAUUGUCCCGGCACAUACCACAGAUGCUGGAUCAGAUUGAGAUCUUGGGAAUUUGGAGUCAAGGGCAACACCUUGAGCUCUGCUACAUGUUCCUCACACCGUUCGCAAACAGUGUAUAGUGUGGAAGGGGGCACUGUUCUGCUAAAAGAGGCCACUGUCACUGGGGAAUACCACUAAGGAGUGUACUUGAUCCACAACAAUAUUUAGGUAGGUGGCACGUGUCAAACUGAUGCCCACAUGAAAGGCUGGAUCCAGGGUUUCCCACCAAACCAUUGACCAAAGCAUCACACUCUCUUCGCUGUCUUCCCACAGUGCAUCCCGGAGUCAUCACAUCCCCAGGUAAACAGUGCUCACACACCCAGCUGUCCACGUAAUAUAAAAGAAAAUGG